CGAAGGGGCAAGCGUUGUUCGGAAUUACUGGGCGUAAAGGGAGUGUAGGCGGUUAUGUAAGAUAGCGGUGAAAUGCCGGGGCUCAACCUCGGAAUUGCCGUUAUAACUAUGUAACUAGAAUGAUAGAGAGGAUAGCGGAAUACCCAGUGUAGAGGUGAAAUUCGUAGAUAUUGGGUAGAACACCGGUGGCGAAGGCGGCUAUCUGGCUAUAAAUUGACGCUGAGGCUCGAAAGCAUGGGGAUCAAACAGGAUU
Molecule: ribosomal RNA, 253 nt
Filed under: uncultured bacterium
Lineage: Bacteria
Description: partial 16S ribosomal RNA
Rfam family: Bacterial small subunit ribosomal RNA
Source: RNAcentral